UGUGAUUAUUAAAAAUUUUAGCAUAUUGACUUGCUUGUUUCGUAUAAUAUAUAAUAAGCACAAAUAAAUACAAUAUAUUAAAAAUUUAAUUUAUUUAAUUUUAUUAAUUUAAUAAUAAGUUCUUAUUGUUUAAUUCAAC
This 139-nucleotide unclassified non-coding RNA is filed under the name Clostridioides difficile E24. Lineage: Bacteria; Bacillati; Bacillota; Clostridia; Peptostreptococcales; Peptostreptococcaceae. The record is from RNAcentral.